AGUGAACGCUGGCGGUAUGCCUAACACAUGCAAGUCGAACGGCAGCACAGUAAGAGCUUGCUUUUACGGGUGGCGAGUGGCGUACGGGUGAGGUAUACAUCGGUAUCUACUUUUUCGUGGGGGAUAACGUAGGUAAACUUACGCUAAUACCGCAUACGACCUACGGGUGAAAGCAGGGGAUCUUCGGACCUUGCGCGAUUGAAUGCGCCGAUGUCGUAUUAGCUAGUUGGCGGGGUAAAGGCCCACCCAGGCGACGAUCCGUAGCUGAUCUGAGAGAAUGAUCAGGCACACUGGGACUGAGACGCGGUCCAGACACCGACGGGAGGCAGAGGUGGGGAAUAGUGGACGAUGGGGGCAAGACUGAUCAAGCGAUACCGCGUGGGUGAAGAAGGCCUUCGGGUUGUAAGACCCUUUUGGUGGGGAAGAAAAGCAGCAGGUGAAAAGCAGGCUGUUGUGACGGUACCCAAAGAAGAAGCACCGGCUAACUACGUG
RNAcentral lists this ribosomal RNA (492 nucleotides) under uncultured bacterium. RNAcentral's name for it is "partial 16S ribosomal RNA". It matches the Rfam family "Bacterial small subunit ribosomal RNA", at positions 29 to 507 of the family's 1533-position model. The record is from RNAcentral.